Molecule: transfer RNA, 61 nt
Filed under: Olavius algarvensis
Lineage: Eukaryota; Metazoa; Annelida; Clitellata; Tubificida; Naididae
Source: RNAcentral
UUCAAGAUAAUUAUAAUCAAUAAACUGUAAAUUUAAUGAAGGUAGCCAUUACCUCUUGACA